GGACACCGUGAACACUUCUGUUGCAGGGACAUGUUGACACAGCACUUCUGAGGAGAUGUAGACAACAUGAUGGCUCCACUUAGGGAACAAGGUUGCUGACUCAAAUAAGGACUGGGAUGGGAUCUCCCAAAGCAGCAGUCAUCCUUUGAAGACAACAUAUUCCACAACCACUUUUAGCAUGCAUGUACAGAAUAGUCUGUCCAUCCCUGCUCCUCACAUACAGAAUGACCUUGAGUGAAAAUUCCUGCACUGCUUUCACCACAGCUCCUCAAGGACUUAACAAUGCUACAGAAAAAGUCAGCAAAGCUGAGUUCUUUCGGGGAAAUCCUGUCAUCUGCAGAAAGGGAGACAAAACCAGAUCUCCCUUUCUCUCACUCACCACAAAAGCAUGGGAGACAUGGUCCAAUGCUCUGGCACUGGAGCAGGUACUGAACACUAAUUAAUUACAACAUGAUGGGGAUUUGCCAAAAAAAUCUGUUCCAAUUAAAAUCUUUCAACACAAAU
Molecule: long non-coding RNA, 504 nt
Organism: Prinia subflava (tawny-flanked prinia)
Lineage: Eukaryota; Metazoa; Chordata; Aves; Passeriformes; Cisticolidae
Exons: 4
Source: RefSeq, a predicted model, not a curated record